This 467-nucleotide ribosomal RNA is filed under the name uncultured Alphaproteobacteria bacterium. RNAcentral describes it as "bacterial SSU rRNA". It matches the Rfam family "Bacterial small subunit ribosomal RNA", at positions 9 to 524 of the family's 1533-position model. Lineage: Bacteria; Pseudomonadati; Pseudomonadota; Alphaproteobacteria. The record is from RNAcentral.
GAGUUUGAUCAUGGCUCAGAACGAACGCUGGCGGCAGGCCUAACACAUGCAAGUCGAGCGCCCAGCAAUGGGAGCGGCGGACGGGUGAGUAACGCGUGGGAAUUUUCCUCAAGGUACGGAACAACUCAGGGAAACUUGGGCUAAUACCGUAUGAUGUCUAGCGACCAAAGAUUUAUCGCCUUGGGAUGAGCCCGCGUCAGAUUAGGUAGUUGGUGGGGUAACGGCCUACCAAGCCUGCGAUCUGUAGCUGGUCUGAGAGGACGAUCAGCCACACUGGGACUGAGACACGGCCCAGACUCCUACGGGAGGCAGCAGUGGGGAAUCUUGCGCAAUGGGCGAAAGCCUGACGCAGCCAUGCCGCGUGAAUGAUGAAGGUCUUAGGAUUGUAAAGUUCUUUCGCUCGUGACGAUGAUGACGGUAACGAGAGAAGAAGCCCCGGCUAACUUCGUGCCAGCCGCCGCUGUAAG